UCUGUUAGAUCCUUCAUGAUUAAAGUCUUCUCAGGAUUGCAGAAUAUUCACAGAAAAGCUUGUGUUAACACAAGGAAGCAGUGUGGAAACAAUCAGCUGGGGAGAAAGAAUAAAGAGAGCUGC
Non-coding RNA from Lonchura striata (white-rumped munia), 123 nucleotides. NCBI's taxonomy places the organism in Eukaryota, Metazoa, Chordata, Aves, Passeriformes, Estrildidae. The record is from RefSeq and is a predicted model, not a curated record.